CUACGGGUGGCAGCAGUGGGGAAUAUUGGACAAUGGGCGAAAGCCUGAUCCAGCCAUGCCGCGUGUGUGAAGAAGGCCUUCGGGUUGUAAAGCACUUUCAGUGGGGAAGAAAGCCUUGGGGCUAAUACCCUCGAGGAAGGACAUCACCCACAGAAGAAGCACCGGCUAACUCCGUGCCAGCAGCCACGGUAAUACGGAGGGUGCGAGCGUUAAUCGGAAUUACUGGGCGUAAAGCGCGCGUAGGCGGUCUGAUAAGCCGGUUGUGAAAGCCCCGGGCUCAACCUGGGAACGGCAUCCGGAACUGUCAGGCUAGAGUGCAGGAGAGGAAGGUAGAAUUCCCGGUGUAGCGGUGAAAUGCGUAGAGAUCGGGAGGAAUACCAGUGGCGAAGGCGGCCUUCUGGACUGACACUGACGCUGAGGUGCGAAAGCGUGGGUAGCAAACAGGAUUAGAUACCCCGGUAGUC
This 464-nucleotide ribosomal RNA is filed under the name Vreelandella stevensii. RNAcentral's name for it is "partial 16S ribosomal RNA". It matches the Rfam family "Bacterial small subunit ribosomal RNA", at positions 339 to 795 of the family's 1533-position model. Lineage: Bacteria; Pseudomonadati; Pseudomonadota; Gammaproteobacteria; Oceanospirillales; Halomonadaceae. The record is from RNAcentral.